RNA transcript from Acipenser ruthenus (sterlet), 4796 nucleotides. RefSeq lists it as uncharacterized. The transcript has 2 exons. Lineage: Eukaryota; Metazoa; Chordata; Actinopteri; Acipenseriformes; Acipenseridae. The record is from RefSeq and is a predicted model, not a curated record.
GUUAAGAUAAUGUGAUUGCUCUGUUGGGAGAUGCGAUACUAAAGGUAUCAUUUCGAGAGCCCGAAAAGACCGAGCAGAACUGGACAAUCUGAUUUUUUUCUUCUUUUGAUUGAUACAUAAAAAAUAGAAUAACAUUAUGUAGAUGUUUUAUUUAACAGCAUGUAAUCAAAGAAACUACAUAACGAUAUCGCAAAAGUCUACCAGAAGCCAUACUAAUAUUAAUAAUAUAUUGAUUUGUUAAGUGUGUUCAUAGAAUUAUGUUUUCGCUUAUAAGCUGUAACGAAUGCAUUUACUGUGGCCUAAGAGAUCCAGACGUGUUUUUUUUUUGUUUUUUUUUUUUUUUUAAUAGAAACGUUUUCAUACUAACUUGUGUACUUGAUAACAUUAAUUUAAAAAUCCAAUUCACUGGGCGUGAGCUGGGGGGGAAGGAUAAGGCAGAAGAAGUAGCAAGGAGCAGUUAGUAGGACAGGAUGUGUUCACCGACUGGGGCCGACGCUGUCGACAUCCCAGGGGCGGAGGACCCGGCGACCGGAAACAGGAUAGAAAAGAGGUCACCGACUGGGGCCGACGCUGUCGACAUCCCAGGGGCGGAGGACCCGGCGACCGGAAACAGGAUAGAAAAGAGGUCACCGACUGGGGCCGACGCUGUCGACAUCCCAGGGGCGGAGGACCCGGCAACCUGAAAACACAUAUGAGGGUUAUGACUUGGAAAGCCGCCCCUCGGGAGGAGAUGAGAGAGGUACCCAGCAUCUGAGGCUUCUGUAAGGGGCGCUCGUAAAACCCCUGAUUGGCCGAGACAUCACGCUGCCUGGGACCUGAAAAUAAGGACAAAGCAUUGAGGUUAGUAUAGGACUCGCCACGAGUGACCACGUCCUGAAGAGAGGCAGAAUAGAAGAGAGCCUCGAGUGAGAUGAGCGCAGGAGCUGCGACAGAACAGUUUGGCCGGGGGUCCGCUCUGACUCACGUGGUGAGAACCUCUGAAGAUUUCGGCAUUGAUUUCACUCCAUGCUAGAUUGUUGCAGUUCAGAGAACCCUCCUUCUCCAGCACCAAGCUCACAAACUGCAGUUCUGUGUAAUACAAUGGAAAUUGUAUUAUUUUACCUUUCCACCAACAUAUCUUGACUGCUGGCCUCAAACUAUUUAUACAACAUGCCCAACACUUUUAAACAUAUGACUAUCAGUCUGAACUAAUGACUGUAAUUAGUUCUUAUUUUACCAUAUCUUGUACAGCAUUCUUUUUAAGGGCACUUAGAAAUUACUCAUUUCAGUGUACAACAUUAUUUAUUUGCUUUGCUAAACACACAUAAAUGCUUUUAUAUUUUGUAAGUGGUGGGUGGGAGAUUGUACAUGAACAGCAUGGAAAAUACCCACAUAUUUAGAGCCUGUAGCCUAGACAUCCUUAGUUUUAACAACCUAAAACCUUAAAGUAGAGAAAACCUAACCCUAAUUCAUAGCUAUAUCAGCUGCAUGUCCUUAGAAUUUAACAACCAGCCAUGAGAUACAGUACAUUAAGCACAAACACACAAGAUAUAACAUGUAGAUGUUUUGGAAAGUAAAACACACACACACACACACACACACACACACACACACACACACAUUCUCCUUACCUUCAGUCUGUAUUGUCCAAAACAGCAACAACAUUGCACUGAUUAAUUUUUUAAAACACAUUUCAACAGAACUGGUUUACAGGGUAGAGCUAAUAGUUAGAAUAAUACAAUCUACUGUAAUGGCAGAUUCUAAGUCAGUAUAUAAGAAGUUCCUGAAGUGAACUUGUAGUUAUGGGUUUUUAUUAAUUCCAUGACGCGUCUCACUACCACAGUAUUAAAAAGACUGUGGUAGGAAAUAAAGUACACUGCACAACUAUGAUUGGGUGCAUAAGCGGACGCUGGAUAGGUUACAUACGCGCUUCAUGCUAGCUGAUACUAUGCUUGUAAGUUUUACAAUGAAGAAAUUCAUAGUAUUGUCUCAAAACAAAGUAAUAUUAUUGUAAUUGACAUUACGCUAUAUCCAUUCAGACGCUUGAUUACGUCCCAUAUUCUUGUGGCAGUAAAGCAGUCAUUUACUAUCUGUGGUUCAAAUCCUCCAGUAAACCAAGGACUCUGUAUCUUAUAAAUGUUUUAAAUGUUAACACAAAGGAAAACAAAUGACUUUGUUUAAUUUCUGUAAUUUAAUCAAAUUCACAGAGCUACCAUCAUUAUUAUAAAUCAUUUUCAUAUGGCUUCCAAAUCUAUACAAUCUGAGUUGUAUCAAUUUACUUAAUAAAACAUUAUCAAGGAUCAUCUUAUUCUGUGGGGGAGUAUGUGCGUGCUUACAGCAGGACGUGAUCAAAGGGUUCAUAUAAACCUACAGCAGGACAUGAUCAAAGGGCUCAUAUAAACCUUCAUGUUCCAUUCAGUGGGCUGACAGCAACCAGACUGGCUGCCAAACCAAAUCUCACCUCCAUACAAGUCAGUGAGAGGGCUGUAAAGUAUACUCUGUGGUUAUUUGGUUCAGAUUAAUCUAAUACACUUGAUAAAGCUAGAGAUGUGGCAUUCAGAGAAUACGAAGUGUUGAAUAAAUUGAAUGUGUAUUUUCAUUAAAGUCACUAAUGCCCUGUAAACAUUUGUAAACUCUUUUAUCUUCAUUCUGACCAUCUCAUUGGAAAAACAAACACAAGACCCCAAAUGAUCAUACUUAAAACAACUGUGUUCCCGGACCAGUCAAGGUCUGUGACAGUAUUUUACAGCAAUGUACAGUAACUGCACCAAUGAAGACACAAAGCGAAACUUUGUUUAAUUUAUAAUAGGCUUUACUUUAGUAUUUAGAAACACAACAGCAAUGUCUCUAAUAGAAAGUAAUCACAAUGUUUUUCUUUAGAAUGCACUUGUUCUGCACAAAGUUGACAGGAUCGUUCUUUAAGGGUUUUGGUAAAUAAAAAAAAAAAAUUUACAUAGAUUUUCAAGAAUUCAUCAUUACUACACAAGUUCCAAAACCCAUCAAACGGAUAUCGUAGGUUUCAUUUUGGCUCAGUUAUUGGUAACUCCAAACUGAACCCUUUAAAUAAGUUUUCAAAGAUCUUCAUUUUGAAGCUUUUCUAGGACUUCGGUCCAUAUUUUCAUAAAUGGGAUCUUCUGGGUUGUUCUUAGCCUGACGUUUUCUUCCAGGACGUGUGUGCAUGUUGGUGUAAAUGUUUUCCUCUGUAACAGAGCAAUCGGUCAUGACCUCAUUAAAUGGUUAAACAUGUGACAGUAAAAUUAAUGUAAAUGGUUAUAUAUUAUUAGUAAUAUUAUUAGUAGUAGUAGUAGUAUUUAAACACAUUUCCAUCAUAGGGAAAUGUUUAACAGUAAUAUGUUAUAUAUGGUACUUAUUAAAUGUUUAUUCUCAACUUUAACAGUCUCUGGUAAAAUGUAACAUUGUUUAAAAUGCACACUCAGAAAGAGUACUGAUAACACCACUUAUUCUGCUGUGAAGUCAAAAAUGUGCACAUAAGUGACCGCAUGAACAUUCUACUCUACAAGAGAUGGAAGAAGGCACAUUGUAUUAUUUCAGACGGUAUUUUUGAGGUGAAUAUAAUGAUAUUUAGCUCCCUCUGGUGUCUUUUGAGAAGAGGACAACAUAGGAUUAAGAUGUAAUUAUGGUGCUGCUAUCUAUAAUUAAAAUGUAAUUCUACUGUAUGUCAUUAAACAAAGUGGAAUGCAGUUAGUCGAAUAAAUAUAGUGCACUAUCAGCACUUACUAAGAAUGUAUCUAAUUCUACAAACCGUUGAGUUCCCCAUUGUUCUUCCAGUAUUUCAUUUUAAUUAUAAUUGCUGAAAUAAUCAACACUACAGCCGGUGCUACUGUAAUUAUUGCAAUUUGUGAAUCAUUCCAAAAUGUACCUAAAAAAAAAAAAAAAAAAAAAAAACAUUACAAAAAAAAACAAUUAUGGUACAGAAAUGAACAGUGUUUGCUAAAAUAAGGUUAGGGAAAUGCUUUUGAUCUAAUUAGCUGUAACUCUUUUAAAGAGUAAGUAGCGGGGUUCUGAAAAAUAUAGCGUUACACAUCCCCACGUGUUUCUACAACUGUUUAAAUAACUUACCUGUAAUUUUUCUUUUCAUUGUUAACAUCCUGACAACUUUUUACACUUAUAACUUUAAAGUCUGUUUCAAAACUAUUUUCAAAAUGUCUGCUCUAGUGCACUGGGGUUUGAGAUCUGUCCGCUAAAUCACUGCAGGAAGAACGAUAAAAAAAAUUAAUAAAUAAGAAAAUAAAAAAUAACGUGCUCUGGCUUUUCUGUUCCAUACAACACCAUGGAUCGUUAUUGCUGUGUGUUACCUGUUUACACUCCCAGUGCUGUAGAGUGGACAUUUUAAAAAGAGCUUUGAAACAGACUUUAAAGUUUCAAGUGUAAAAAGUUGUCAGGAUGUUAACAAUGAAAAUAAAAAUUACAAGUGUGUUAUUUAAACAGUUGUAGCAACACUUGGGGACGUGUAACGCUAUAUUUUUUUGGAACGCUGCUACUCACUCUUUCACAUAGGCCUAAAAAAUAUACAGUUACCCUACAUCUCAAAUUGAUGCCAGGAGUCUAUAUUUUGCUACACAUCACAGGUUUUAUCUUUGAACUAGGCGAAAAAACGUCUUUCGGUUUCAUUAUACAUACUGUCAGUGUCUGGACUACCUAAUAUUCAAAUCUCUGUGCUUUCUGUAGAGUCCUUUUUGUGUGUAAAUGAGUAAUCAUGUCGCAGUUAGAUCUGAUUAUGUUAUUUGUUCAUCUGAUCAUGCAAAUGAAAUGUACCAACACUCCUAAUUAUUACUGUUUAAACACUUACUAUUGUU